UGUAUUAUCACUGGCUGUCACAGCAGCGGUUGUAGGAAGAGCGCAAGAAGGAAUCCACUUCCCACGGCGCCUCACCUUCCUCUUAUCCGUCUCCAUCCCGCAGACAUGGAUCUGGAGGUACUGAUGCACACGGCGCUUCCACUCCUCCUAACGUCUGCGCUCUAGCUGUGUCGCGUCCCGCUAAGGACCACAAGGAGGCUGUUAUUAUUUUUGAGACAAUACUGUGUAGCAGAGAGGCGACAGUAGAGACUGAGGAGCAGACAGAAAGGGACCACACAGUCGUGACAGCAAGGGCCGUUUCACGAUAUCGGGCCACUGACUGAGAUUGGCUUUUGGUGCCCUACAUCAUGGCGAGUGACUCUCCAGCUCGGAGUCUGGACGAAAUCGACCUGUCCGCUUUGAGGGAUCCUGCCGGCAUCUUUGAGCUGGUUGAGCUGGUGGGAAAUGGCACCUAUGGGCAGGUGUACAAGGGUCGCCAUGUUAAGACAGGGCAGCUGGCAGCCAUUAAGGUCAUGGAUGUCACCGGGGAUGAGGAAGAGGAGAUAAAAGCGGAAAUCAACAUGCUGAAGAAGUACAGUCACCAUCGGAACAUCGCCACCUACUAUGGAGCUUUUGUCAAGAAAAACCCCCCUGGCAUAGAUGACCAGCUAUGGCUGGUCAUGGAGUUCUGUGGAGCCGGCUCGGUGACGGACUUGAUCAAGAACACCAAAGGCAACUCUCUGAAAGAAGAGUGGACCGCCUACAUCUGCCGAGAGAUACUCAGGGGUCUGACUCAUCUCCAUCAGCACAAGGUGAUCCACCGAGACAUCAAGGGACAGAACGUCCUGCUGACGGAGAACGCCGAGGUCAAACUAGUGGACUUUGGUGUUUCAGCCCAGUUGGACAGAACAGUAGGAAGGAGGAACACAUUUAUCGGUACGCCAUAUUGGAUGGCACCAGAGGUCAUCGCCUGUGACGAGAACCCUGAGGCCACGUACGACUUUAAGAGUGAUCUAUGGUCGCUUGGAAUCACAGCGAUAGAGAUGGCCGAAGGAGCACCACCGCUGUGUGACAUGCACCCAAUGAGAGCCCUCUUCCUGAUCCCGCGCAACCCCCCACCCAGACUCAAGUCCAAGAAGUGGUCAAAGAAGUUCCAGUCGUUCAUAGAGAGCUGUCUGGUGAAGAGCCACAGCCAGAGACAGAGCACAGAGCAGCUCCUCAAACACCCGUUCAUCAGAGACCUGCCCAACGAGAGGCAGAUCCGCAUCCAGCUGAAGGACCACAUCGACCGGACCAAGAAGAAGAGAGGAGAGAGAGAUGAGACCGAGUACGAGUACAGUGGCAGCGAGGAGGAGGAUGAAGAAAGAGAAAUGGGUGAACCAAGCUCCAUCAUCAACGUCCCCGGAGAGUCGACCCUGAGGCGGGACUUCCUGCGGCUCCAGGUGGCCAACAAGGAGCGCUCGGAAGCACAGCGGCGGCAGCAGCUGGAGCAGCUGCAGAAUGAGGAGCACAAGCGCUUACUGUUGGCUGAGAGACAGAAACGCAUCGAGGAACAGAAGGAGCAGAGGAGACGUCUGGAGGAGCAGCAGCAGCGAGAGCGUGAGCUGCGGAAACAGCACGAGAGGGAACAGAGGAGGCGCUACGAGGAAAUGGAGCAGCUCCGCAGAGAGGAGGAGAGGAGGCAUGCAGAGAGAGAACAGGAGUAUAUCCGUAGGCAGCUGGAAGAGGAACAGAGGCAGUUAGAGAUUCUCCAGCAGCAGCUACUGCAGGAACAGGCAUUACUGAUGGAGUACAAACGUAAGCAGAUAGAGGAGCAGCGGCAGGCGGAGAGGCUCCAGAGGCAGCUCCAGCAGGAGAGAGCCUACCUGGUGUCUCUACAGCAGCAACAGCAGCAGCAGCAGCAGCAGGAGGGAAGGCAAGCAGAGAAGAAGCCGCUUUACCACUACAAAGAUAUUAUCAAUCCUAAUGACAAGCCUGCCUGGGCUAAAGAGGUUUCCAAGCAGCAGCAUGUUCAGGGUAACCCGCCGUGCUCCAAACUACGACAUCACCGGUCAUUCAACCAACCGGCGUCAUCCCCUGGCUCAAGGGGUGCUCAAGCCCCCAAGCGAACCCAGUCCCAUGGUGCCCAGUUCCUCCACACCCACCUCCCCCAUAUCCGUAUUUCACUAGACAGCGAAGAACCGCUAGAUCCAGGGCUCAAGCAGGAGAUAAGUCAGCAGGUCAGAGAGUUUAGGGCUCAGAAACUCCAUCAAAGGGGCCGCAGCCCGGGGCCUGUCCAGAAACACAACCAGGCCCCUGGCCAAGGGCCCAGUGAGGGACCUAGUAAGAGUCAUAAAGAGAAUUUUGGUCAAGGGCCAGUCAGCCAGUCUAAUCCAGCACCAAACCCUUAUCCUCUGGGGCCUAGCAAUCACAACGAUAAGCCCAAAGACAGGCAUCUCUCGGCUGCCAGUCAGGGGCUAAUGUCCCCGGGACUUCAACCUCAUCCUCAGUCCCCAGGAAAAAUCCAGAGGCCUAAGUCAGGAUCCAAACCCGUUCCCAUCACUGCGCUCAAACCGGUUAGUGGUCGUUGCAGGUCCCAUUCACCUUGCUGUCGAAUAGAUGUAGACAUAGAACAGGGGUAUCGUGGAGGGUGGGGGAAAGAGAUGAGGCAAGCUGUCAGCAACAAGGACCUUAUGGUGCCCUCGGACUGGGACGUCACAGCAUUUGACCCCUUCUCUCAAUCCUACCCUGACAGCUUACUCCAGUCCGACCCACCUAGACGCAGGAGCUCCUACUCACCUGCCUCCAGUUGUUUUCUUCAAGUCCCUGAAACCAAUUGUUUCCGUUCCCCUCCUUCUAAUAAGGACAGACAGGGAAGGUUUAGGGGGCAGAAUGGAAGCCAUAGCGGCUCUCUGUGUGACCUCACAGCUUCUGCCCCAGCAAGCAUACUUAGACAGAACCUGGCUGAUGGCAGACAAAUGAGUAGUUGCUCCUCUGACCGCUUGUCAGCCAUCUCUCAAACCACUCCAGCUCCUUGGUUUGACCUUUCUCCUCGCACCUCUCCACAAAUCUCCCCCUCGUCCUCAGGCUCAUGGUCCGAUUUUAGCUUUUCCCCUCCAUGUGCCAGUUCCCCUCCAUUCUCUUCUGACAUCACUGUGGCCAAUAUGCCCAACAAAUUCUCUCCACCUUCCGGUACCCACAUCAACCUGCCCAACAAGGCCUCCUUCCCUGCGCCUAGCCCCCACUGCUCCCCGCAUGGCUCUCCCUUUGGAUCCCAGACUCAGAUCUGCAUCAGAUCUGGUGUUGGGUGCUAGACCCUUGUCCAAAGCACUCAUGUAUAGGAACACACACACAAAGUUUUGUACUUCUAAAUUUGUGACUGAAUUAAUGCAUUCCCUCGCCCAAAUCCUACCCUUAACCAUAACAGCUACAUGCUGAACCUUGAGCCCUUAUCCAAUUGUUGUACCUUCUGUUGCCUGCAGUACAGGUUGAUUCCACAUAAAGAGGUUGGUACACCCAUUUAGUUUGUGUCUGCUUAGUCUAGCAUUGCCAGACCUAUCGCCACAGUGCUAAGUCAGCGCUGGAGUAAAGUCUGGCUACACAACGCAUACAUUCUGGAACAGAAGAAACAACUCCGGCUUGUUGCAUUUCUCUUAACCAAUCACAGUUGUCUUGAGCGGCACCAAGCCCAGGGUGCAGUGACGGUGCAUCUCCGAAAUUGUCUUGUGAAGGAAGUUGUUGCUCUGAAAUGGCUAACUCCCUGCAAAAGAAAAUGCCACAUAUAAAUAUUAAAUUAGGUUAGCUGUUCUGCUGAUUUGCUGUUUUACUUACGCCAGACCUGACAAAUCAGGAUGUCAUCUGACUUUAUCCUGGCAGUGUACUUCCAUUGCUCCAGACUAGUGUCUGCUUCAAUAUAUGAAAAACUAAAGAUUUUACUUUUAAUUAACAAAAGGCAAAAUUACAAGCGUUUCCAAAUCUGGCUACAAAUCAAAACAUCUAUUGCAUCUUAACCCAAGCCUAACCCUAAAACCAAGUCUAAACCCCCAAACAGCCCAUUGUCAAAUAUGUCCUCACUUUUCAGAUAACAGCCACUCUCAAUGUCCAAAAGUCAAAAUAGUCCUCACAAAUAUAGAAGUACAAAUAUAAAUUAUAAAAAUAUAGAUGUACAUACAUAUAUUAACAUACAACAAAGAAGUAUAGCUACUUUUAUCUCUAUUUUAAUUCUACUGGGACUGUGAUCCAGAGGAGAGGUGCUGAUAUUUAGAGGCAGUUUCUAAUAUCACCCUGACCCAUAGGUAUCUUAGUGAACCAUAGACCUGCCCCAACCCCUCCACCCUGCAAGCCACCUUGUCACCCUUAUCCCCCAGUGUCCCACAAAGCACCAUGGCAAGCCCGCUCCUAGCCAUAUUCUUGUUGAUGUCAUCGGGGAAACCCACCCAACUCAUCUUCUUUUUAGGUGGAGGAGCGAUCUAAGCUGAACAGACAGAGCUCCCCAGCCCUCCAGCACAAAGUGUCCAACCGCAUCUCCGACCCCUCCCUCCCUCCCCGCUCCGAGUCCUUCAGCAACGUGGGCAUGCAGCCCGCCCGCACCCCACCCACCCACCGCUCCGUUGAACCACAGAUGGCUCACCUGAUUCCAGUGAAGACCCACUCCGGCUCCAUGUCCGGCUCUCAGUCUCUGCAGGACCAGUCAGG
Molecule: RNA transcript, 4653 nt
Organism: Etheostoma cragini (Arkansas darter)
Lineage: Eukaryota; Metazoa; Chordata; Actinopteri; Perciformes; Percidae
Gene name: TRAF2 and NCK-interacting protein kinase-like
Exons: 18
Source: RefSeq, a predicted model, not a curated record